This 1181-nucleotide ribosomal RNA is filed under the name Salmonella enterica. Its description in RNAcentral is "partial 23S ribosomal RNA". It matches the Rfam family "Bacterial large subunit ribosomal RNA", at positions 1 to 1214 of the family's 2925-position model. The record is from RNAcentral. Lineage: Bacteria; Pseudomonadati; Pseudomonadota; Gammaproteobacteria; Enterobacterales; Enterobacteriaceae.
GGGUUGUGAGGUUAAGCGACUAAGCGUACACGGUGGAUGCCCUGGCAGUCAGAGGCGAUGAAGGGCGUGCUAAUCUGCGAUAAGCGCCGGUAAGGUGAUAUGAACCGUUAUAACCGGCGAUACCCGAAUGGGGAAACCCAGUGUGAUUCGUCACACUAUCAUUAACUGAAUCCAUAGGUUAAUGAGGCGAACCGGGGGAACUGAAACAUCUAAGUACCCCGAGGAAAAGAAAUCAACCGAGAUUCCCCCAGUAGCGGCGAGCGAACGGGGAGGAGCCCAGAGCCUGAAUCAGCAUGUGUGUUAGUGGAAGCGUCUGGAAAGGCGCGCGAUACAGGGUGACAGCCCCGUACACAAAAGCGUAUGUGCUGUGAGCUCGAUGAGUAGGGCGGGACACGUGGUAUCCUGUCUGAAUAUGGGGGGACCAUCCUCCAAGGCUAAAUACUCCUGACUGACCGAUAGUGAACCAGUACCGUGAGGGAAAGGCGAAAAGAACCCCGGCGAGGGGAGUGAAAAAGAACCUGAAACCGUGUACGUACAAGCAGUGGGAGCACCCUUUGGGGUGUGACUGCGUACCUUUUGUAUAAUGGGUCAGCGACUUAUAUUCUGUAGCAAGGUUAACCGAAUAGGGGAGCCGGAGGGAAACCGAGUCUUAAUUGGGCGUUAAGUUGCAGGGUAUAGACCCGAAACCCGGUGAUCUAGCCAUGGGCAGGUUGAAGGUUGGGUAACACUAACUGGAGGACCGAACCGACUAAUGUUGAAAAAUUAGCGGAUGACCUGUGGCUGGGGGUGAAAGGCCAAUCAAACCGGGAGAUAGCUGGUUCUCCCCGAAAGCUAUUUAGGUAGCGCCUCGUGAAUUCAUCUCCGGGGGUAGAGCACUGUUUCGGCUAGGGGGUCAUCCCGACUUACCAACCCGAUGCAAACUGCGAAUACCGGAGAAUGUUAUCACGGGAGACACACGGCGGGUGCUAACGUCCGUCGUGAAGAGGGAAACAACCCAGACCGCCAGCUAAGGUCCCAAAGUCAUGGUUAAGUGGGAAACGAUGUGGGAAGGCCCAGACAGCCAGGAUGUUGGCUUAGAAGCAGCCAUCAUUUAAAGAAAGCGUAAUAGCUCACUGGUCGAGUCGGCCUGCGCGGAAGAUGUAACGGGGCUAAACCAUGCACCGAAGCUGCGGCAGCGACAC